UUGACCUCGGAUCAGGUAGGAAUACCCGCUGAACUUAAGCAUAUCAAUAAGCGGAGGAAAAGAAACCAACAGGGAUUGCCCCAGUAACGGCGAGUGAAGCGGCAACAGCUCAAAUUUGAAAUCUGGCCCCAGGCCCGAGUUGUAAUUUGUAGAGGAUGCUUCUGGUUAGGUGCCUUCUGAGUUCCCUGGAACGGGACGCCAGAGAGGGUGAGAGCCCCGUAUAGUCGUGCACCGAGCCUCUGUGUAGCACCUUCGACGAGUCGAGUAGUUUGGGAAUGCUGCUCAAAAUGGGAGGUAAACUUCUUCUAAAGCUAAAUACCGGCCAGAGACCGAUAGCGCACAAGUAGAGUGAUCGAAAGAUGAAAAGCACUUUGAAAAGAGGGUUAAACAGUACGUGAAACAAUUGAAAAGGAAGCACUUGUGACCAGACUUGUGCCGCGCGAAUCAUCCAGCGUUCUCGCUGGUGCACUUUGCGCGGCUCAGGCCAGCAUCGGUUUUCCCGGGGGGACAAAAGCUCAGGGAACGUAGCUCCUUCGGGAGUGUUAUAGCCCUCUGCACAAUGCUCCCGGGGGGACCGAGGUUCGCGCUCUGCAAGGAUGCUGGCGUAAUGGUCAUCAGUGGCCCGUCUUGAAACACGGACCAAGGAGUCAAGCAUUAGGGCGAGUGUUUGGGUGUAAAACCCGCACGCGAAAUGAAAGUGAACGUAGGUGAGAGCUUCGGCGCAUCAUCGACCGAUCCUGAUGUACUCGGAUGGAUUUGAGUAAGAGCCUUACCGCUUGGACCCGAAAGAUGGUGAACUAUGCUUGUAUAGGGUGAAGCCAGAGGAAACUCUGGUGGAGGCUCGCAGCGGUUCUGACGUGCAAAUCGAUCGUCAAAUAUGAGCAUGGGGGCGAAAGACUAAUCGAACUAUCUAGUAGCUGGUUACCGCCGAAGUUUCCCUCAGGAUAGCAGUGUUGUUUUCAGUUUUAUGAGGUAAAGCGAAUGAUUAGGGACUCGGGGGCGCUAUUUAGCCUUCAUCCAUUCUCAAACUUUAAAUAUGUAAGAAGCCCUUGUUACUUCAUUGAACGUGGGCCUUCGAAUGUAUCAACACUAGUGGGCCAUUUUUGGUAAGCAGAACUGGCGAUGCGGGAUGAACCGAACGCGGGGUUAAGGUGCCGGAGUGGACGCUCAUCAGACACCACAAAAGGCGUUAAUACAUCCAGACAGUAGGACGGUGGCCAUGGAAGUCGGAAUCCGCUAAGGACUGUGUAACAACUCACCUACCGAAUGUAUUAGCCCUGAAAAUGGAUGGCGCUCAAGCGUCCCACCCAUACCCCGCCCUCAGGGUAGAAACGAUGCCCUGAGGAGUAGGCGGCCGUGAGGAUCCGUGACGAAGCCUUGGGCGUGAGCCCGGGUAGAACGAUCCUCAGUGCAGAUCUUGGUGGUAGUAGCAAAUACUUCAAUGAGAACUUGAAGGACCGAAGUGGGGAAAGGUUUCAUGUGAACAGCGGUUGGACAUGAGUUAGUCGAUCCUAAGCCAUAGGGAAGUUCCGUUUCAAAGGGGUACUUGUACCCCGUGUGGCGAAAGGGAAGCAGGUCAAUAUUUCUGCACCUGGAUGUGGGUUUUGCGCGGCAACGCAACAGAACGCGGAGACGGUGGCGGGGGCCCCGGGCAGAGUUCUCUUUUCUUCUUAACGGUCUACCACCCUGGAAACAGUUUGUCUGGAGAUAGGGUCCAACGGCCGGAAGAGCCCAGCACCUCUGUUGGGUCCGGUGCGCUCUCGACACCCCUUGAAAAUCCGCGGGAUGGAAUAAUUCUCACGCCAGAUCGUACUCAUAACCGCAGCA
Molecule: ribosomal RNA, 1827 nt
Filed under: Atractospora reticulata
Lineage: Eukaryota; Fungi; Ascomycota; Sordariomycetes; Atractosporales; Atractosporaceae
Description: eukaryotic LSU rRNA
Rfam family: Eukaryotic large subunit ribosomal RNA
Source: RNAcentral